This 404-nucleotide ribosomal RNA is filed under the name uncultured bacterium. RNAcentral describes it as "bacterial SSU rRNA". It matches the Rfam family "Bacterial small subunit ribosomal RNA", at positions 355 to 776 of the family's 1533-position model. The record is from RNAcentral.
UGGGGAAUAUUGCACAAUGGGGGAAACCCUGAUGCAGCGACGCCGCGUGAGCGAAGAAGUAUUUCGGUAUGUAAAGCUCUAUCAGCAGGGAAGAAAAUGACGGUACCUGACUAAGAAGCUCCGGCUAAAUACGUGCCAGCAGCCGCGGUAAUACGUAUGGAGCAAGCGUUAUCCGGAUUUACUGGGUGUAAAGGGAGCGCAGGCGGCUUUGCAAGUCUGAUGUGAAAGGCCAGGGCUCAACCCUGGGACUGCAUUGGAAACUGUAAAGCUAGAGUGCCGGAGAGGUAAGCGGAAUUCCUAGUGUAGCGGUGAAAUGCGUAGAUAUUAGGAGGAACACCAGUGGCGAAGGCGGCUUACUGGACGGCAACUGACGCUGAGGCUCGAAAGCGUGGGGAGCAAACAGG